RNAcentral lists this ribosomal RNA (838 nucleotides) under uncultured bacterium. RNAcentral's name for it is "bacterial SSU rRNA". It matches the Rfam family "Bacterial small subunit ribosomal RNA", at positions 690 to 1504 of the family's 1533-position model. The record is from RNAcentral.
GAAGAGUUUUGAAGGAACAUCUAUAGCUAAAGCAAUAAUCUAGUUUAUUUAAUACUGACGCUGAGGAACGAAAGAAUAGGUAGCAAACAGGAUUAGAUACCCUGGUAGUCUAUUCCGUAAACUAUGAAUGCUCGUGUUUAGAAUUAAUAUUUUAGACACCAAGUUAACACGUUAAGCAUUCCGCCUGAGGAGUAUAGUCGCAAGGCUGGAACUCAAAGGAAUUGACGGGGGCCAAUACAAACGGUGGAGCAUGUGGUUUAAUGCGAUAAUACGCGCGAAAUCUUACCAGCUUUUGAAUUUUAGAUAAUAUUAUUUUAACAGAAGUCGAUAAUUUAUUCAAAUAUUGUUUUGAGUAAAAGUUUAAAACAGGUGUUGCAUGGCUGUCGUCAGCUCGUGUUGUGAAAUGUUUGGUUAAGUCCUUUAACGAGCGCAACCCUCCUUUUUAGUUGCUAAUAAGAUACUCUAGAAAUAGAUUUACGAUGAGUAAAUGGAAGAAGGAUGACGUCAAGUCCUCAUGGCCCUUAUAGGCUGGGCUACACACGUGCUACAAUGGUAAUUACAGAAGGAAGCAAAUAUGAAAAUUGGAGCAAAUCCCCAAAAAUUAUCGUAGUUCGGAUUAUAGACUGCAAUUCGUCUAUAUGAAGUUGGAAUCGUAAGUAAUUGCGAAUCAGAAUGUCGCGGUGAAUAUGUACCUUGGCCUUGCACACACCGCCCGUCACAUGCCGGGAGUUAGUUUUACUUUAAAAAUAUAAAAUAAUUAAAAGAUUUUUAAUUUUUUGAGGUUUUAGUUUCACGGCGAAAUUAGCAACUGGGAUGAAGUCGUAACAAGGUAGCCGUA